Labrus bergylta (ballan wrasse) is the source of this 267-nucleotide non-coding RNA. The record is from RefSeq and is a predicted model, not a curated record. NCBI's taxonomy places the organism in Eukaryota, Metazoa, Chordata, Actinopteri, Labriformes, Labridae.
UCAGACAACCGUAAUAGCUCUGUUUCUGUUAUCAGCUGCUUUGGCUAUAAGCUUGAUUAUUAUAGCUUUCCUGAUUCAUAUCAUCAAGACUAAAUCGUAUGAUUCCAGCAAAGCUGCUGAAGUUCUGCAAACACAUCCUGCAGCAGAUCGACGACGCCAGCAGAGCGCUGAGGACUCGUUGGUUUAUUAUGCACCGACUUUUUCUAAGAUUAGAACGGACAAAAGAGAGAAGAGAAAAGUCAAAGCAGUAACAGAAGAGACGAUCUA